GGGCGAUUAGCUCAGGUGGUUAGAGUACUUGCUUGACAUGCAAGGGGUCACUGGUUCAAGUCCAGUAUCGCCCACCA
Molecule: transfer RNA, 77 nt
Filed under: bacterium
Lineage: Bacteria
Also listed under: 11 other names
Description: tRNA-Val
Rfam family: tRNA
About the family: Transfer RNA (tRNA) molecules are approximately 80 nucleotides in length.
Source: RNAcentral